This 72-nucleotide transfer RNA is filed under the name Candidatus Pacearchaeota archaeon. RNAcentral describes it as "tRNA-Asp". It matches the Rfam family "tRNA". From Rfam's summary of the family: Transfer RNA (tRNA) molecules are approximately 80 nucleotides in length. Their secondary structure includes four short double-helical elements and three loops (D, anti-codon, and T loops). Lineage: Archaea; Nanobdellati. The record is from RNAcentral.
GCCUCGCUAGUUUAGUGGCUAAAACACAUCCCUGUCGCGGAUGAGUCCCGAGUUCGAUUCUCGGGCGGGGCG